RNAcentral lists this long non-coding RNA (1059 nucleotides) under Olea europaea subsp. europaea. Lineage: Eukaryota; Viridiplantae; Streptophyta; Magnoliopsida; Lamiales; Oleaceae. The record is from RNAcentral.
CCUGACCCCAAGCAUCUGAAACACUUGAUGUCUCGAUUCCUUGAUGGUUGUGAAUCUGUUUUGGGUGCUGUUUUACUAGCACUUUCUUCUUUCCCUUUCUGCCACUCAUUCCUACCUUUAGGUACAACUUUAUUACCUUUGUUGUUGUUGUUCCACCCUGGCCUCCAAGAUGGAUUAACACUCGAAGUUCCUAACGGCUGCCUAGCUGCCCCUUUCCUCUUCAGUUGUCUCUCUAUUUUCAUAGCCACAUGCAACAUGUCUUCCAACUCCACAUAAUGUUGCAACUCCACUACAUUGGCAAUUUUCCUAUUCAAUCCAUUCAAGAAUCGUGCAAUGGUAGCCUCCCGAUCCUCCACCACAUUGGCCCUAAUCAUGAGUAUUUUCAUCUCCUUAUGAUAGUCCCUACACUUUUUGACCCUUGAUAUAGACCUAGCAGUUUUUGAUAAAUCUCUCGGUAAUAGUGGCUAGGAACAAACCUCUUUCUCGUCAAUGACUUCAAUUCCUCCCAAGUGCUGAUUGGUCUUCCCCCACUCCUACGUUAUGAAGUAAUCACUUGAUCCCACCAUGAAAUUGCAUAGUCACUGAACUCCAAAACUGCUAGCUUCACCUUUUUCUCCUCUGAGUAGUUAUAACACUCGAAGAUCAUUUCAACCUUCCUUUCCCACUCCAGGUAUGCCUCGGGAUCACUCCUUCCUUUGAAUGAAGGAACUGUCAUUUUUAUAUUUCCCAAGUUUCUAUCCAACUCCUCCCUGCAAUUAUUUCGACCCCGUCUGUCGAACCUAUCGCCUCUAUUCCUCAUCCUUCCCAUCUCAACACCGUGAAAUUCAUCUUCACCCAUGUCACUCCCAUAUCCAUACUCCUUUCGCCUUUCCCUCUUAGGCUCCCAUCUAUCUGGUCCUCUGGUAUUGGAUACAUCAACUCGAUGCCCCCGCUAAGAUUAGCCACCGAUGUAUCUAAUCUAUUCAUUCAAGCCUCCUGCUUCUCCAACCUAUCUCUCACAUCUCCAAACGCUCUCUUAAACCUCUGCACCAAUUCCUCCGAUGCAUUGCUAUUGUCGGC